GCUCCAGUCAGUACCACCCUGAAUGCUCCCUAUCCUGCCUGAUCUCAGAAGCUAAGCAGGGUCAGGGUCGGAGGUCACCCAAAAUUUGAAUGUAAGAAAUUUGUUGAGAUUUCAUCU
This 117-nucleotide ribosomal RNA is filed under the name Sorex araneus (European shrew). Lineage: Eukaryota; Metazoa; Chordata; Mammalia; Eulipotyphla; Soricidae. The record is from RNAcentral.